This 245-nucleotide unclassified non-coding RNA is filed under the name Hevea brasiliensis (rubber tree). Lineage: Eukaryota; Viridiplantae; Streptophyta; Magnoliopsida; Malpighiales; Euphorbiaceae. The record is from RNAcentral.
AUUAAUAAGACAGGAAGCUCAUCAGAAUCAGCAUCCUUAAGAAAUUAAAAUAAACAUCAAAUUUCCAGUUUUUGCAUCAAAUCAAAAGAACCAGUACCCAUUUUCACUGGUAAUCCAAGACAUAUCCUAGCAGACGGUGUCUCCAAGUUGUCGGUUUCACCAUGCAGUGCUGCUUCAACAAUGAAUUUAGAGGCUGUCUCAAAAGACAUUUUACUAAAAGGCGAUGUCAACUCUGCUAUGCCCCC